Molecule: transfer RNA, 65 nt
Filed under: Scrobicularia plana
Lineage: Eukaryota; Metazoa; Mollusca; Bivalvia; Cardiida; Scrobiculariidae
Description: tRNA-Asn
Source: RNAcentral
UAAGCUUUAUUUUAUUUAGAAUAGUUAGUUGUUACCUAACAGGAGGUGUCCUACGCCAAGUUUAA